This 714-nucleotide ribosomal RNA is filed under the name Triticum aestivum (bread wheat). Its description in RNAcentral is "partial small subunit ribosomal RNA". The record is from RNAcentral. Lineage: Eukaryota; Viridiplantae; Streptophyta; Magnoliopsida; Poales; Poaceae.
AUGCCAAAUCUAUUCGCUGCAGUCAAAAGAAGAGCGCGAAAGAGAAUAGUGAGACAAGCCAUAACCGAAGGUUGGUGGCUAGAUGUGUCGCCUAACAUGAGUCCCCAAGCCCUCACCGAGUUCCUGCAGCUUGUGGACAGAACCCAACAUAUCCAGCUUGUGGAUGGCAUGGAAGAUAGAUUGAUCUGGGCUUGGGAACCAAAUGGGUCCUUCUCGGCGAGAUCGGCCUACCGGGCGUUCUUUGCUGGGAGAGUGGAGGCCGUUGGGGCUGUGCAAAUCUGGCGGUCAAGAGCGCCGGUGACCUGCAAAAUCUUCGCAUGGCUGGCGGCUCGGGAGAGGUCUUGGACGGCUGACAGGCUUGCGCGUCGGCACCUACCGCAUCCUCCGGCUUGCCCCUUCUGUGAUCAGGAGCCGGAGACAAUCAACCACAUCCUUCUCGGCUGCGUCUUUGCUAGACAAGUGUGGUUCUCCAUUCUUGACCACAUAACAACAUACGUUGUUCCCUUUGUCAUCGGUAUGUUACUUGCCCGAGGUUCGAUCGUCGGUAUCUCAAUACCUAGUUCAAUCUCGUUACCGGCAAGUCUCUUUACUCGUUCCGUAAUACAUCAUCCCACAACUAACUCAUUAGUUACAAUGCUUGCAAGGCUUAUAGUGAUGUGUAUUACCGAGUGGGCCCAGAGAAACUUCUCCAACAAUCGGAGUGACAAAUCCUAA